RNAcentral lists this ribosomal RNA (529 nucleotides) under uncultured bacterium. RNAcentral's name for it is "bacterial SSU rRNA". It matches the Rfam family "Bacterial small subunit ribosomal RNA", at positions 355 to 896 of the family's 1533-position model. The record is from RNAcentral.
UCGAGAAUCUUCCGCAAUGGACGAAAGUCUGACGGAGCGACGCCGCGUGGUGGAUGAAGCCCUUAGGGGCGUAAACACCUUUUCUGGAGGAGGAAGUUUAUUGACGUUACUCCAGGAAUAAGGGGCUCCUAAACUCGUGCCAGCAGGAGCGGUAAUACGAGUGCCCCAAGCGUUACCCGGAUUUAUUGGGCGUAAAGGGUGUGUAGGCGGUUAUAUUAGUCUUACGUUAAAGCCUCGGGCUCAACCCGAGAUCUGCGUAGGAAACGGUAUAACUAGAGGAUGUGAGGGGUCUAUGGAACUCAUGGUGUAGGGGUGAAAUCCGUUGAUAUCAUGGGGAACACCGAAAGCGAAGGCAGUAGACUGGCACAUUCCUGACGCUGAGACACGAAAGCGUGGGUAGCGAAUGGGAUUAGAUACCCCAGUAGUCCACGCCCUAAACGAUGAUUGUUGGUUUUUCGGAGUAUCGACCCUCUGAGAGACGAAGCUAACGCGUUAAACAAUCCGCCUGGGAAGUACGGCCGCAAGGCUA